UCACCAAGUCAAUGAUCUUUAGGGGGCCUGAGAGGGUGAUCCCCCACACUGGUACUGAGACACGGACCAGACUCCUACGGGAGGCAGCAGUGAGGAAUAUUGGACAAUGGGUGGAAGCCUGAUCCAGCCAUCCCGCGUGAAGGACGACGGCCCUAUGGGUUGUAAACUUCUUUUGUACAGGGAUAAACCUACCCUCGUGAGGGUAGCUGAAGGUACUGUACGAAUAAGCACCGGCUAACUCCGUGCCAGCAGCCGCGGUAAUACGGAGGGUGCGAGCGUUAUCCGGAUUUAUUGGGUUUAAAGGGUCCGCAGGCGGGCUAGUAAGUCAGUGGUGAAAGCCUACAGCUUAACUGUAGAACUGCCGUUGAUACUGCUAGUCUUGAGUAUAGUUGAGGUAGCUGGAAUGAGUAGUGUAGCGGUGAAAUGCAUAGAUAUUACUCAGAACACCGAUUGCGAAGGCAGGUUACCAAGUUAUAACUGACGCUGAGGGACGAAAGCGUGGGGAGCGAACAGGAUUAGAUACCCUGGUAGUCCACGCCGUAAACGAUGCUAACUCGUUUUUGGGCUUUAGG
Molecule: ribosomal RNA, 572 nt
Filed under: Riemerella anatipestifer
Lineage: Bacteria; Pseudomonadati; Bacteroidota; Flavobacteriia; Flavobacteriales; Weeksellaceae
Description: bacterial SSU rRNA
Rfam family: Bacterial small subunit ribosomal RNA
Source: RNAcentral